CAGAAGUUUUGGAAGAGUCCUGGGAGAAAACGUAAUUUCCUUCUGAUGGCUGAACAAAAAUCUAAUCCUGUAUGGCAGCAUUUCACCAAGCCAACACCAGAAAAAGCCAGGUGCAAUAUCUGCAGCCGGCUGGUGAGCUUGGGAACUGAAGAAGGAGUUUGCUGCUAUAUUGUGCACUAAAAGAGAUUCUGAUGCUGGUAUUUUUAUUGUUUAUAAGUUUAAGUUAUUGUUUACGAGUUGCAUUGUGUUUUCGUUAUUUAAAGUUUAAAUUUACACAAGUCAGUAUUCAAUAAAUGCUAAGUUGAGAAAUUU
Molecule: long non-coding RNA, 312 nt
Organism: Paramormyrops kingsleyae
Lineage: Eukaryota; Metazoa; Chordata; Actinopteri; Osteoglossiformes; Mormyridae
Source: RefSeq, a predicted model, not a curated record